Molecule: long non-coding RNA, 703 nt
Organism: Hemicordylus capensis (graceful crag lizard)
Lineage: Eukaryota; Metazoa; Chordata; Lepidosauria; Squamata; Cordylidae
Exons: 3
Source: RefSeq, a predicted model, not a curated record
UUUACUAGCUUUGGAGACAGAGAUGGGUGCUAGUGUGAUCAGAGCACCUUUUUCAAAACCACCUGACCAAAAUUAGCCUCAGCAGCAGAGCAGAGAUCCACAGCAUAGUGUCUUACAAAGGGUUUGGCUGGAAAACAAACCAACUCUUUAGUCUGCACAUCUUCAAAUGAGCAUGGGAGACAGUCAUCAUUCAGGAGGCCAUCAAACCUAAGAGGCGCUCAAUGGUGCGAGCCCUUUGCUUGGGAGUGACUUGAACGAUAGAGAUCAGGAUUAGACGGAGAAGAGCAGAAACUUUGCAAUGCGACAAGCGCAGUGAACAAGAAGGAACUGAGAGAGAAGGUGCUUUCCCGCCUAAUUUAACCGAUGCUUCCUGCACACCUCAGAAUGCUGGAGAGCACCUCUUGUAGCUUGAUACUCCUCUGUGGGACUACUGCACAGAUGCAGAAGACCCAGUUGUGUGGGAACAUGGAUCACCUCAGAAAUCACAAUAUUGUUAUUACUGACUGGCAGCAGCUCUCCAGGGGUCUUUCCCAGUUCUACCUGGAAAUGUCGUGGACUGAACCUGGGAACUUCUACUUGCAUAUGUGCCUUAACACUGAGCUACAGCCCCUCCCCUAUGUAUUGCUUACUAGAACUACUUUCCUCAGGACAUCCCGCUGCUCUGCUCCUGACUGAAACCUUCUACUUCCUCAAUGCCAGCUCA